This is an RNA transcript of Aegilops tauschii subsp. strangulata, 4009 nucleotides long. It is a transcript of the gene named NF-X1-type zinc finger protein NFXL1, with no coding region annotated. The record is from RefSeq and is a predicted model, not a curated record. Lineage: Eukaryota; Viridiplantae; Streptophyta; Magnoliopsida; Poales; Poaceae.
CCGCCCCGCCACCGCAUGCAGCCCCCCACCGGUCAACGCCGCGGCCCCGCCGCGCCCUCCUCCCGCGGCGUAUGGCGCCCCCGAUCCGCUGCCGAGGCCCCCGCCCCCAACCCCGCCCACCACCGCGACAACGCCGCCCCGCUCCUGCCCCUCCCCAACCCCAACCCCAACCCGGGCCCUGCCUCGGACAGCCGCGCGCCCCGCCGCCGCCAGCGCCGCCCGAACCGCAACAACGGCCCCGCCCCACCGCCGCAUGAGAGGGCUCCCUCGUCCGGGCCCGCUAACGCCUCCGCGCCGCGGCGGCAAGAGAGGGCUCCCGCGUCCGCGAACACCUCCGCGCUGCGGCGGCAAGAGAGGGCGAACGCCCCCACGCCCGCGGUGGCGGCCGCGGGGGGCGGCGGGUCGGUGCCGCAGCUGGUGCAGGAGAUCCAGGACAAGCUGGCGCGGGGGGCGGUGGAGUGCAUGAUCUGCUACGACAUGGUGCGCCGCUCCGCCCCCGUCUGGUCCUGCGGCAGCUGCUUCUCCAUCUUCCACCUCCCCUGCAUCCGCAAGUGGGCGCGCUCCCCGGCCUCCGUCUCUGACGCCUCCGCGCCGGCCUCCGACGCCUGGCGCUGCCCCGGCUGCCAGUCCGUGCAGGACGUCCGCGCCCGCGACAUCGCCUACACCUGCUUCUGCCGCCGCCGCCGCGACCCGCCCAACGACCUCUUCCUCACCCCGCACUCCUGCGGCGAGCCCUGCUCCAAGCCCCUCGGCAAGGCGGAUCCUGCGGCCAAGGGCGGUGACGAAGAUGAUGUCGCCACCAGGUGCCCGCACGUAUGCGUCCUGCAGUGCCACCCUGGGCCGUGCCCGCCCUGCAAGGCGUUUGCUCCGGAGCGCCCCUGUCCUUGCGGCAAGCAGUCUAUCACGCGUCGCUGCGCGGACUGGAGUACGCCUGUCACGUGUGGGCAGCGGUGCGAGAAGCUGCUGCCCUGCCGGAGGCACCGCUGCGAGAAGGUCUGCCACACCGGCCCCUGCGGUGACUGCGAGGUUAACUUCCCUGCACAGUGCUUCUGUGGCAAGAAAACAGAGACAUUGUUGUGCGGCGAGAUGGUGCUCAAAGGGAAGCUGUCGGACAAGGAUGGGGUGUUCUCUUGCAGUGAGGUUUGCGGCCACAAUCUGGCAUGUGGCAAUCAUGCCUGCCAGGAUGUUUGCCACCCAGGGCCGUGUGGGGAGUGCGAGCUUGUGCCAGGGAAGGUCACCACAUGCCAUUGUGGCAAGACAAGGCUGCAGGAGAAGAGGGCUAGCUGCUUGGACCCAAUCCCCACCUGUGACAAGGUAUGCGACAAGAGAUUGCCCUGUGGAGUGCAUAGGUGCAAGGUCACGUGUCACGAAGGAGAGUGUCCACCGUGCUUGGUGCGUGUCGAGCAGAGGUGCCGCUGUGGCUCAUCAGGCCAGAUGGUGGAGUGCUACAAGGUAUUGAAGGAAGAGUUCCGUUGCAACAAGCCUUGUGGCCGCAAGAAGAACUGCGGGAGGCACAGGUGCAGUGAGUGCUGUUGCCCGCUGUCGAAGCCAUUUGCUCAGCAUCAAGGUGACAGCAUGGAUCCCCAUUUCUGCCAGAUACCAUGUGGAAAGAAGCUCCGUUGUGGACAGCAUGGUUGCCAGCAUCUCUGCCACAGCGGUCACUGUGACCCUUGCCGCGAGACCAUAUUCCAUGAUCUCACUUGUGCCUGUGGCAGGACAUCUAUUCCGCCACCACAGCCUUGCGGCACACCAACUCCAUCAUGCCCACACCAGUGCAUGGUCCCUCAGCCUUGCGGGCAUCCAGCUUCGCAUCAAUGCCAUUUCGGGGACUGCCCACCUUGCGUUGUGCCAGUCACAAGAGAAUGUGUUGGGGGGCAUGUGAUGUUGAGGAACAUCCCUUGUGGUUCAAAGGAUAUCAGAUGCAACCAGCCCUGUGGAAAGAACCGCCAAUGUGGACUGCAUGCUUGUGCCAGGACUUGCCAUCCUGCCCCAUGUGAUCCACCGCCUGCAAAUGGAGAAGCUAGUUCAAGCUCUGGGGGCAGAGUUUCAUGUGGACAGUUAUGUGGUGUCCCAAGGAGGGAAUGCAAGCACACUUGCAAUGCGCCAUGCCACCCGUCGUCACCUUGCCCAGAUGUGAGAUGUGAACACCGUGUGACUAUUACCUGUUCUUGUGGCCGUAUCACUACAGCUGUGCCCUGCAGUGCUGGUGGAGCCUACAAUGGUGAUAGUGCGUUCGAUAUCUCCGUCAUGCAGCAGCUGCCAAUGCCUCUCCAACCAGUGGAAUCAAAUGGGAAGAGGGUUCCUCUUGGGCAGAGGAAACUUUGUUGUGACGAGGAGUGUGCAAAAAUGGAGAGGAAAAGGGUCCUUGCUGAAGCUUUUGACAUUACCCCGCCCAAUCUGGAUGCACUCCAUUUUGGUGAGAACUCAAAUGCGUCGGAUUUGCUUUCUGAUCUUUUCCGGCGUGAGCCAAAGUGGGUUCUGGCCAUAGAGGAGAGGUGCAAGUUCCUUGUCCUUGGGAAGACAAAGGGGAAUUCUUCAAGCAACAUGAAGUUCCAUGUCUUCUGUCACAUGAUGAAGGACAAGAGAGAUGCUAUCAGGCUCAUUGCAGAUAGGUGGAAGCUUUCUGUCCAGGCAGUUGGGUGGGAACCCAAGCGUUUUAUUACCGUCCAUGUCACACCCAAGUCCAAGGUUCCUGCUCGUGUUCUGGGCUCUAAGCCUGGUGUCCCUGUCUCGGCGUCCCAUCCUUACUUUGAUCCCAUGGUGGACAUGGAUCCGAGGCUCGUCGUUGCAAUGCUGGACCUGCCCAGGGAUGCUGAUGUUAGCUCUCUAGUUUUAAGGUUUGGUGGGGAGUGUGAAUUGGUUUGGCUGAAUGACAAGAAUGCCGCUGCAGUCUUCAGCGAUCCAGCUAGAGCAGCGACAGCGCUGAGGCGGCUGGAUUAUGGGUCUGCUUACCAGGGUGCUGCAAUGUUUUGCCCAAGCAGCAUCACUCAGGCUUCUGUGUCAAGCAAUGUGUGGGUCGGAGCACAGAGAGAUGGAGGGUUGGCUGCAAAGAGCAGUGCCAAUCCAUGGAAGGCCUCUCAAUCUGAGCCCGACCCAUCUGGAGACUGGACAGUGCUCAGUCAUGCUUCAGGGUCAGUGUGGAAACGUGGUGAUACUCCUGCUCAGGUCAUGGGUUCUUCAAACCGCUGGAAUGCUCUGGAGUCUGAUGCUGCAACCAGCUCUGGGCCAACCGACAAACGUAAGCCUCCUCUUCGCACUGAAACAGGAUCCAGCAGUUCUGCUCCCCGCGUUGGUGCUGGAUCCAGCGCAGCACCAAGUGCUGGGCAAUCGGUGAGCAAGCUGCAGCCUGACGUCGAAGUUGAAGACUGGGAAGAAUCGUGUGAAUGAUGAGACCGAGGUAGUUUGGUCAAGAUGACUCAUUUUUAUUCAGAUGUCAUUUUUAUCUCUAAUACAAUGUAUAUCGAAGCUGUUACUGUGUCACCGUCAAGUAGUUCCUGGCUGUUGCUGGUUGACUGCUCAGUUGGAAGUAUUUUUGCCAUGCAAUAAACAAUGAACCCUUCUCAUAUUUCCUGUGUUCUUUAACAUCACAGUGUUCACAGAAUCACAGCUUGUGCAAUCCAGUUGGGUUAAUGUAUGGCAGCCAAAAUUGCCCUUCGACACGAUUCUCACCCUUUCUUUUGCAUCGACAAGAUCAUCCUUCUCCCAUGCUGACCAACUCCAUGACCUGGUCUGAAGACUUUGCUUGGUUAUUUCAACUGAUCAUCUGCGUGUUGUUAUGCCAGUGCAUUGUUGCUAGAUAUAGUGGGUGGUUGCGGAAUUAAAUAUUGAAUUGUUUCUAUGCCAUUCAACUACUUAAGUUAAUGCACUCAACGUAUGCCAGUCAGUUACUCUAAACUAGUGAUUCUGUUAUGCCUACGGUUCCAGUUGCUAUUCCGCUGUUUCAUUUUGAUGUCACACUUCAUGUUUUCAUUGGAAGUAAAAUGCGCAGCAAUAAAUGUUCUUCACCUUA